Fukomys damarensis (Damara mole-rat) is the source of this 1240-nucleotide long non-coding RNA. RefSeq lists it as uncharacterized. The transcript is spliced from 2 exons. The record is from RefSeq and is a predicted model, not a curated record. NCBI's taxonomy places the organism in Eukaryota, Metazoa, Chordata, Mammalia, Rodentia, Bathyergidae.
UAACUCCGCGCCUGUUCCGGGCCUCUCGGCUGGAGCCGGCUGCCGCGCGGCCUUAAUCGCCGCCGGGAUCUCUGCGCCCCCCAGGGCCGGGGAGGUAAAUUUAGCUUCAGGAAGCUCCGGGGAACAUUUUCCAAAACUCCACGUCUCGCAGCGGGCUAGACGGACCCCUCCGUGCGCAGCCUUCCCCGGCCGGCCACCAGGCGGCGCAGGUCUUCCGGCUCCGGGGACCCAGCCAGCUGGGAGUUAGGGUCGCUGUUUGUUUGUUUGUUUGUUUGUUUGAGUCAGGGUCUCCACUGUGUUGUCCUUCAGGCUGGCCUUGAGCUUGUGGCAACCCUUCUGCCUCAGCCUCCCGAGUGCGCCCCCACACUCAGCGAGGGUCGCUGCUGCUUUGAAGCUGGAGUAGGUAAAGGGCAGUGAAUAACAGCUGGAAGAAAAGUCCUCACCAAGGCUGUCCAGGACGCUGGGAUCUGAAAACCACUGAGAAAAGGGGUGGGGACUUCUGUGUAUCCAGCGGGAUGUAACUCACAGACCUUAACCGCUGUCCACUGCCUGCCUCUUGCACACCACCGAGGGUUCCGCCAGCGUUGUGAUCCGCAGGGCCUUGGAAGCCGGCCUGGACUCUUGCUGCCCGACCCGGGUUCCCUUACGGCCCUGCGGCGGGGUGUGCUCCAAUCCCGCCCUACCCCUUGUGGCCACUUGAGGGCGCGGGCGCGCCGAGGGCUAGGUGUGCCUUUACCCCUCCCCCCAGGACACCUGCUUUCCUGCAGGCUGCUCUCUCAAAACCGGAGUUACUGCUUGGGGAGUUGAUGUGGGGAGGCUUCAGCGGUUUGUUUUUGUUUUUUCCUUCUCCAGGAGUAGAGAGAGCUAUGGGCCAGGGGUCAGGGUGGAUUAGAUAGGACACGAUUGGGGCUGCCACAUUCUAGAACGAGGGAAGUUUAGGAUUGAGGUGCGGGUUGUGUGUCCUUCCUUGCUUGCCUGGCUCCUGCCUGCCGGCAAACAGAAAAGAAAGGCGGGCUAAUUAGAAGAAGCCCUGAAUUUGAUUUUUUUUUUUUUUUUUAAAGGCAAGUAUUUCACUGUGUUGCCCCAGGCUGGUCUGAUUUCUGGGCUUGUGAAAUUCUGCCUCAGCCUUCUGAGUGAUUAGAGCUAGAGGCACCCAAAGUCAGACCUGUACAGUCCUGAAUUUGAGGUCUGAAAAAGUGGAUUCACUGCAUGACCGUUCUGCCGCCUGACUUGGUGAAUC